UCAACUAGGACAACAACAAUCAAUCUUUUAGGAAUUGGUCUGUAGUGGUAUUCAACCUUUUUCUUCAAGCUUGAGUGGAUGAUGAUUUUUCUAUUUUUGCAUAUGCUUGAAUGUGAAACAGAACCCUUCUAGUGAUGUCUUUGUAUAAAGCUUCAUCGUGUACAAUUGAUCACAUCACUUGAAGUUAUGUGAGUGCUUUGUUUGGUUAGAGAGUGAGUUGGUUGACAGUGUAUUGCAGUGCGGAAGAAAUAGUAUCGUCAGUCACUUCAGUUCCAGCUGUGUCCACAUGACUUUGUACUGCUACAUUGGAACCACGUGAGCACCAGGUUCUUGAUUGGUUCCUAGCUCCUGAAUCUAUAGGAGCUCAUCCUUAGCUGGGACCCGUUCAAGUUUGCAGCAGUCCAAGUAGGUCAGGUUCCCUAUCUG
Molecule: long non-coding RNA, 426 nt
Filed under: Nicotiana benthamiana
Lineage: Eukaryota; Viridiplantae; Streptophyta; Magnoliopsida; Solanales; Solanaceae
Description: long non-coding RNA (NBEN_LNC037945)
Source: RNAcentral